CCUACGGGAGGCAGCAGUGGGGAAUAUUGGGCAAUGGAGGAAACUCUGACCCAGCAACGCCGCGUGAAUGAUGAAGGUCUUCGGAUUGUAAAGUGCUUUUCUAAGGGAAGAAGAAAGUGACGGUACCUUAGGAAUAAGCCUCGGCUAACUACGUGCCAGCAGCCGCGGUAAUACGUAGGAGGCGAGCGUUAUCCGGAAUGACUGGGCGUAAAGGGGGCGUAUGUGGUUUGGCAAGUUAGUAGCGUAACUCCAAGGCUCAACCUUGGAACUACUACUAAAACUGUUGGACUUGAGUGCAGGAUGGGCAACCGGAAUUCCUAGUGUAGCGGUGGAAUGCGUAGAUAUUAGGAUGAACCCCAGUGGCGAAGGCGGGUUGCUAGACUGUAACUGACACUGAGGCACGAAAGCGUGGGGAGCAAACAGGAUUCGAUACCCCAGUAGUC
RNAcentral lists this ribosomal RNA (443 nucleotides) under uncultured bacterium. RNAcentral's name for it is "partial 16S ribosomal RNA". It matches the Rfam family "Bacterial small subunit ribosomal RNA", at positions 338 to 795 of the family's 1533-position model. The record is from RNAcentral.